AAGAAAAGAGUUUGUCAGCAUAGCCAAGGAGACUGCCCGGAGCAGAAAAGGAGGCUCUAAACUGAAAAGCCCCUUUAGAUAGAGCGGGAAAGUCAUCCUUGGCUACCAAACCACACUCUUUUCU
Non-coding RNA from Ricinus communis (castor bean), 124 nucleotides. NCBI's taxonomy places the organism in Eukaryota, Viridiplantae, Streptophyta, Magnoliopsida, Malpighiales, Euphorbiaceae. The record is from Rfam.